RNAcentral lists this ribosomal RNA (618 nucleotides) under Vibrio sp. RNAcentral describes it as "bacterial SSU rRNA". It matches the Rfam family "Bacterial small subunit ribosomal RNA", at positions 379 to 987 of the family's 1533-position model. The record is from RNAcentral. Lineage: Bacteria; Pseudomonadati; Pseudomonadota; Gammaproteobacteria; Vibrionales; Vibrionaceae.
CAGCCUGAUGCAGCCAUGCCGCGUGUGUGAAGAAGGCCUUCGGGUUGUAAAGCACUUUCAGUCGUGAGGAAGGUGGUGUAGUUAAUAGCUGCAUUACUUGACGUUAGCGACAGAAGAAGCACCGGCUAACUCCGUGCCAGCAGCCGCGGUAAUACGGAGGGGUGCGAGCGUUAAUCGGAAUUACUGGGCGUAAAGCGCAUGCAGGGUGGUUUGUUAAGUCAGAUGUGAAAGCCCGGGGCUCAACCUCGGAAUAGCAUUUGAAACUGGCAGACUAGAGUACUGUAGAGGGGGGUAGAAUUUCAGGUGUAGCGGUGAAAUGCGUAGAGAUCUGAAGGAAUACCGGUGGCGAAGGCGGCCCCCUGGACAGAUACUGACACUCAGAUGCGAAAGCGUGGGGAGCAAACAGGAUUAGAUACCCUGGUAGUCCACGCCGUAAACGAUGUCUACUUGGAGGUUGUGGCCUUGAGCCGUGGCUUUCGGAGCUAACGCGUUAAGUAGACCGCCUGGGGAGUACGGUCGCAAGAUUAAAACUCAAAUGAAUUGACGGGGGCCCGCACAAGCGGUGGAGCAUGUGGUUUAAUUCGAUGCAACGCGAAGAACCUUACCUACUCUUGACAU